CCGAAAUUCAAAGAAAAUAAAUAGAAAAAAAAAACCUAGGAACAUUCGGUCACUUGGAAGCUCAAAUUCAAGAUCAAGAAUUAAAGAAAUCGAAUUUGGAUCGGGGAAAGACAAAAGUGGUCGAGUAGCCGAUUUAACAGUCGACGAUAUCCGAGAUUUUGGAGUCGCGUUAUGAGCUCGGGGAUCGUCAGGAUAGUCUAUCACACUAUCAACCGUCUUUGGUAUUUUAUAAAUUUGAAUUUGAACCAUGGCAUGUAUAGUCUAGUUAAUAUGUUUAAUUUUGGGAUAUGUGAAUAUGAGCCAUGCGAAAAUGGCUUACUCAUUUUGGUUAAGCUUGGUUUUAUGUUUUUGAUCUAUUUGAUAUAUAUAUAUAUAUGUAUGAUGUUUAAGCUUAUGUAAAUUUAGGUUAUAUAUAUAGAAGUGUGAUGUGUUUAGCAUAUUUGUUAAUAGUUGUAUAAAUUAGUUAUAUUUAAGCCUAUUUCGA
Long non-coding RNA from Gossypium raimondii (Peruvian cotton), 484 nucleotides. RefSeq lists it as uncharacterized. The transcript has 3 exons. Lineage: Eukaryota; Viridiplantae; Streptophyta; Magnoliopsida; Malvales; Malvaceae. The record is from RefSeq and is a predicted model, not a curated record.